This 7493-nucleotide long non-coding RNA is filed under the name Salmo salar (Atlantic salmon). RNAcentral's name for it is "lncRNA (ENSSSAG00000097546.1)". Lineage: Eukaryota; Metazoa; Chordata; Actinopteri; Salmoniformes; Salmonidae. The record is from RNAcentral.
ACUUAACCAAUUUGGACUAUUUCAUGACAUUACUAUUCUGUCCAUGACAUGAAAUACAAAUAAAAAUCAAUUUAAAUAACAGGUUGUAAUGCAAAAAAUAGGAAAAACGCCAAGGGGGGUGAAUACUUUUGCAAGGCACUGUAGGGGUGUACAGGGGUAGAUGGGGUGGAUAUAAUCUCCACCCGGCACAGCCAGAAGAGGACUGGCCACCCCUCAUAGCCUGGUUCCUCUCUAGGUUUCUUCCUAGGUUCUGGCCUUUCUAGGGAGUUUUUCCUAGCCACCGUGCUUCUACACCUGCAUUGCUUGCUGCUUGGGGUUUUAGGCUGGGUUUCUGUACAGCACUUUGAGAUAUCAGCUGAUGUAAGAAGGGUGAUAUAAAUACAUUUGAUUGAUAGGGGUAGAUGGGGUGAAUUAGGAUAGAUGGGUACUUAGGGGUAGAUAGAGGUGGAUAGGGGUAGAUAGAGGUAGAUAUGGGUGGUUAAAAGUGGAUCGGGGUAGACAGGGGUGGGCUAGCAGCUUAAAGAGCUUAGCAGGAAUCCUGCUUUCACUGAUUCUAAUGGAGAGCACUUUUGUCUGUGUUGUCCCCUCUCUGUGCUCGGAGUGUCUGUGUUGUCCUCUUUCUGUGCUCUGAGUGUCUGUGUUGUCCCCUCUCUCUGUGCUCUGAGUGUCUGUGUUGUCCCCUCUCUCUGUGCUCUGAGUGUCUGUGUUGUCCCCUCUCUCUAGAUAGUCCUCAGCCACACACAUGCAAACACACGGAGAGAGAGAGAGAGAGAGAGAGAGAGAGAGGGAGAAUACAAACUGAUAGUCAGAGCCACCAUGCAUGAAAUGCUGUAGUAUGAAUCUGCAGGUAGCUAACGUUAACCAACUAGGUGCAAUGUUAGCUAGCUAGCAUUAGGCUACAACUACCGACUGAGCCGCUCCCUCCCUACUGAGCCCUACCGACUGAGCCCUACCGACUAAGCCGCUCUCUCCCUCCCUACUGAGCCGCUCCCUACCGACUGAGCCGCUCCCUCCCUCCCUACUGAGCCGCUCCCUCCCUCCCUACUGAGCCGCUCCCUCCCUAUUGAGCCGCUCCCUCCCUACUGAGCCACUCCCUCCCUCCCUACUGAGCCGCUCCCUCCCUACUGAGCCACUCCCUACCGACUGAGCCGCCUCUCCCUCCCUACUGAGCCGCUCCCUCCCUCCCUACUGAGCCGCUCCCUCCCUACUGAGCCACUCCCUCCCUCCCUACUGAGCCGCUCCCUCCCUACUGAGCCGCUCCCUACCGACUGAGCCGCGCCCUAUUGACUGAGCCAGUCCCUCCCUACUGAGCCGCUCCGUCCCUCCCUACUGAGCCGCUCCCUCCCUCCCUACUGAGCCGCUCCCUCCCUCCCUACCGAGCCACUCCCUCCCGACUGAGCCGCUCCCUCCCUCCCUACUGAGCCGCUCCCUCCCUACUGAGCCGCUCCCUCCCUACUGAGCUGCUCCCUCCCUACUGAGCCGCUCCUUCCCUACUGAGCCGCUCCCUCCCGACUGAGCUGCUCCCUACCGACUGAGCCGCUCCCUACCGACUGAGCGCCCUACCGACUGAGCCGCGCCCUACCGACUGAGCCGCGCCCUACCGACUGAGCCGCUCCCUACCGACUGAGCCGCGCCCUACCGACUGAGCCGCUCCCUACCGACUGAGCCGCUCCCUCCCUCCCGACUGAGCCGCUCCCUACCGACUGAGCCGCUCCCUCCCUCCCGACUGAGCCGCUCCCUCCCGACUGAGCCGCUCCCUAUUGACUGAGCCGCGCCCUACUGACUGAGCCGCUCCCUACUGACUGAGCCGCUCCCUACUGACUGAGCCGCGCCCUACUGACUGAGCCGCUCCCUACUGACUGAGCCGCUCCCUAUUGACUGAGCCGCGCCCUAUUGACUGAGCCGCGCCCUAUUGACAGAGCCGCGCCCUACUGACUGAGCCACGCCCCUCCAACAGAGCCACGCCCUACCGACUGAGCCCUACCGACUGAGCCCUACCGACUGAGCCCUACUGACUGAGCCGCUCCCUACUGACUGAGCCACGCCCCUCCAACAGAGCCGCACCCUACCGACUGAGCCCUACCGACUGAGCCGCGCCCUACCGACUGAGCCACGCCCCUCCAACAGAGCCGCGCACUACCGACUGAGCCCUACCGACUGAGCCGCGCCCUACCGACUGAGCCACGCCCCUCCAACAGAGCCGCGCACUACCGACUGAGCCACGCCCCUCCAACAGAGCCGCGCCCUACCGACUGAGCCCUACCGACUGAGCAGCGCCCUACUGACUGAGCCGCGCCCUACCGACUGAGCCGCGCUCUACCGACUGAGCCGCGCCCUACUGACUGAGCAGCACCCUACCGACUGAGCCGCUCCCUACCGACUGAGCCGCGCCCUACCGACUGAGCCACGCCCUAUCGACUGAGCCCUACCGACUGAGCCGCGCCCUACCGACUGAGCCCUACCGACUGAGCCCUACCGACUGAGCCCUACCGACUGAGCCACGCCCUACCGACUGAGCCCUACCGACUGAGCCACGCCCUACCGACUGAGCCCUACCGACUGAGCCCUACCGACUGAGCCCUACCAACUGAACCCUACCGACUGAGCCGCGCCCUACCGACUGAGCCGCUCCCUACUGACUGAGCCGCUCCCUACCGACUGAGCCGCGCCCUACCGACUGAGCCGCUCCCUACCGACUGAGCCCUACAGACUGAGCCGCUCCCUCCCUACUGAGCCGCUCCCUCCCUCCCUACUGAGCCGCUCCCUACCGACUGAGCCGCUCCCUACCGACUGAGCCGCUCCCUCCCUACUGAGCCGCGCCCUACCGACUGAGCCCUACAGACUGAGCCGCUCCCUCCCUACUGAGCCGCGCCCUACCGACUGAGCCCUACAGACUGAGCCAUACAACUUUCUGACAAGAUAAGACACGUAUAAUAUCUGAAACUGUAGCUAGACUCUUACCCGUAUAGAUGGAUGAACGUGUCACAGCAGACCGGAACUCCUUUCAUUAAAUAAGACAUCCUGUGUCGUUUCUGUUCUGUUUGUGGUCCGUUGUGUCAGGUCUCUCUGGUUCACACUGACCGUGUGCAAUGCCAUCAGAAUCAUCUUAAGCGUUAGCCCCAGCCCAAACUCUGACCAUUUUACUCCUCCUAGCAGAGCUGGUUAGGCUGUUUUCAUGUUAUCCAGAGCGUUGGUGACUGUAACCCUGUGUUGUAAUGCCAAGAGUGUGCAAAGCUGUCAUCAAGGCAAAGGGUGGCUUCUUUGAAUAAUCUCAAGUAUAAAAUAUAUUUUGAUAUGUUUAACACUUUUUUGGUUACUACAUGAUUCCAUAUGUGUUAUUUCAUAGUUUUGAUGUCUUCACUAUUAUUCUACAAUGUAGAAAAUAGUAAAAAUAGUAAAAAUAAAGAAAAAACUACUACUGCUGCUGCUGCUGCUGCUGCUGCUACUACUACAAUGCCAUCAGAAUCAUCAGAUCUUUCUACCUCUCUGUCACGGAUGCAAUCAAACGUCAGAAUAGUCUGAGAUUUCUUUACUGUUUGAUUCGUUUUCAGAAUCAGAGAGAGUCAGCAUGGCACGAUCGUCCUCCAGAAAGUAGUCCAUCACAGCUUUUCCCCACUGGCUAGCGGGAAAGUUACUGUCUUUUUCCGUGGCUAAACCAACUAGGCUCGUAAUUUAACAAUUUCAUUCGUAUUUACAGAUGGCGUACACGUUUGUUAUUAAGGCUCAUGAGAGAUAUUACUGCACCUUCGGAUCUAGAAGCAUUAGCAUUUCGCUACACUCACAAUAACAUCUGCUAACCAUGUGUAUGUGACCAAUAACAUCUGCUAACCAUGUGACCAAUAACAUCUGCUAACCAUGUGUAUGGACCAAUAACAUCUGCUAACCAUGUGACCAAUAACAUCUGCUAACCAUGUGUAUGGACCAAUAACAUCUGCUAACCAUGUGUAUGUGACCAAUAACACCUGCUAACCAUGUGACCAAUAACAUCUGCUAACCAUGUGUAUGGACCAAUAACAUCUGUUAACCAUGUGACCAAUAACAUCUGUUAACCAUGUGACCAAUAACAUCUGUUAACCAUGUGACCAAUAACAUCUAUUAACCAUGUGACCAAUAACAUCUGUUAACCAUGUGACCAAUAACAUCUGUUAACCAUGUGACCAAUAACAUCUGCUAACCAUGUGACCAAUAACAUCUGCUAACCAUGUGACCAAUAACAUUUGAUUUGAUGUUCCAGAAAGCAUUUCUGCCAAAAAACAUAUUUUCAUUAAAAAAAAAAAAAAAAUGUUUUGUUACGUUCAAAUGCCUCUCCUGUGAAGUAGUGACGUGGGACAUACGCUUAGCUUCCUGAAACGGGUCACAUAUAGGAUGGGAUAAAGUGACAACAGGAUAGAGAGUAAACAGCAGCAUAUGUGAUGAGUCAAAAGAGUUGGUGCAAAAAAGGGUUAAUGCAGAUCGUUAAAUAGUUAACCAAUAGCUACCUGGACUAACUAUUUAUCAGUCUUAUGGCUUUGGGGGUAGAUGCUGUUCAGGGUCCUGUUUGGUUCUAGACUUGGUCCAUCGGUACCGCUUGCCGUGCGGUAGCAGAGAGAACAGUCUAUGACUGUUCAGGGUCCUGUUUGGUUCCAGACUUCAAAUCAAAUCAAAUCAAAAGUGUGUCACAUGCACAUACAACCUUACAUUGAAAUGCUUAUUUACAACCGACAAUGCAGUUUUAAGAAAAAUAUCUAAAAUAAAUUCAAUAAAAGUAACAAAUAAUUAAAGAGCAGCAGUAAAAUAACAAUAGCGAGGCUGUAUACAGGGGGUACCGGUACAGAGUCAAUGUGGAGGCUAUAUACAGGGCAUUACGGUACAGAGUCAAUGUGGAGGCUAUAUACAGGGUGUUACGGUACAGAGUCAAUGUGGAGGCUAUAUACAGGGUAUUACGGUACAGAGUCAAUGUGGAGGCUAUAUACAGGGGGUACCGGAACAGAGUCAAUGUGGAGGCUAUAUACAGGGGGUACCGGUACAGAGUCAAUGUGGAGGCUAUAUACAGGGGGUACCGGUACAGAGUCAAUGUGGAGGCUAUAUACAGGCGGUACCAGUACAGAGUCAAUGUGGAGGCUAUAUACAGGGGGUACCGGUACAGAGUCAAUGUGGAGGCUAUAUACAAGGGGUACCGGUACAGAGUCAAUGUGGAGGCUAUAUACAGGGGGUACCGGUACAGAGUCAAUGUGGAGGCUAUAUACAGGGGGUACCAGUACAGAGUCAAUGUGGAGGCUAUAUACAGGGAGUACCGGUACACAGUCAAUGUGGAGGCUAUAUACAGGGGGUACCGGUACAGAGUCAUUGUGGAGGCUAUAUACAGGGGGUACCGGUACAGAGUCAAUGUGGAGGCUAUAUACAGGGGGUACCGGUACAGAGUCAAUGUGGAGGCUAUAUACAGGGGGUACCGGUACAGAGUCAAUGUGGAGGCUAUAUACAGGGGGUACUGGUACAGAGUCAAUGUGGAGGCUAUAUACAGGCGGUACCGGUACAGAGUCAAUGUGGAGGCUAUAUACAGGGGGUACUGGUACAGAGUCAAUGUGGAGGCUAUAUACAGGGGGUACCGGUACAGAGUCAAUGUGGAGGCUAUAUACAGGAGGUACCGGUACAGAGUCAAUGUGGAGGCUAUAUACAGGGGGUACCGGUACAGAGUCAAUGUGGAGGCUAUAUACAGUGGGUACCGGUACAGAGUCAAUGUGGAGGCUAUAUACAGGGGGUACUGGUACAGAGUCAAUGUGGAGGCUAUAUACGGUACCCCUAUAUACAGAGUCAAUGUGGGAAAUGUAUGCAUUCACUACUGUAAGUUGCUCUGGAUAAGUGUUUGCUAAAUGACUAAAAUGUUGUGAAAACUUUCCAAUGAUGUGUUUGAACCUCACUGUGAGAAUUGCACUUCUGAUCAUUGUAAACAAGGACUAGCUUUCUGGUAGUCUAAAUUGAGUUAUCACAGAUAUGUAGUUGAAAACAGUGCCAUCAGUAUAGAACACGUCAGGUAGAGUUAUUAAAGUGACUAUGCAUAGAUGAUAACAGAGUGCAGCAGAAGGAAGGGGGGGGGGGGCAAUGAAAGUAGUCUGGGUAGCCAUUUGAUUAGCUGUUCAGGAGUCUUAUGGCUUGGUGGUAGAAGCUGUUUAGAAGCCUCUUGGACCUAGACUUGGUGCCCCGGUACCGCUUGCCGUGCGGUAGCAGAGAGAACAGUCUAUGGCUGGGGGUGGCUGGAGUCUUUGACCAUUUUUAGGGCCUUCCUCUGGCACCACCUGGUGUAGAGAUCCUGGAUGGCAGGAAGCUUGGCCUCGGUGAUGUACUGGGGCAUACGCACUACCCUCUGUAGUGCCUUGCGGUCGGAGGCCGAGCAGUUGCCAUACCAGGCAGUGAUGCAACCAGUCAGGAUGCUCUCGAUGGUGCAGCUGUAGAACCUUUUGAGGAUCUGAGGACACAUGCCAAAUCUUUUCAGUCUCCUGAGGGGGAAUAGGUUUUGUCGUGUCCUCUUCAUGACUGUCUUGGUGUGUUUGGACCAUGAUAGUUUGUUGGUGAUGUGGACACCAAGGAACUUGAAGCUCUCAACCUACUCCACUUCAGCCCCGUCGAUGAGAAUGAGGGCAUGCUCGGUCCUCCUUUUCCUGUAGUCCACAAUCAUCUCCUUUGUCUUGAUCACGUCGAGGUAGAGGUUGUUGUCCUGGCACCACCCGUCCAGGUCUCUGACCUCCUCCCUAUAGGCUGUCUCAUCGUUGUCGGUGAUCAGGCCUACCACUGUUGUGUCAUCAGCAAACUUAAUGAUGGUAUUGGAGUUGUGCCUGGCAGUGCAGUCAUGAGUGAACAGGGAGUACAGGAGGGGACUGAGUACGCACAACGGAGGGGCCCCCGUAUUGAGGAUCAGCAUGGCGGAUGUGUUGUUGCGGUCUUCGUCUGUCCCUGCGGCCUUGUGAAUGUUGACCUGUUUAAAAGUCUUACUCACAUUGGCUACGGAGAUCACACAGUCGUCCAGAAUAGUUGCUGCUGCAUGGUUCAGGAUUGCUUGCCUCGAAGCAAGCGUAAAAGGUAUUUAGUUCGUCUGGUAGGCGAGACAGCUCGCGAUUGGGUUUCCCUUCAUAAUCCAUGAUAGUUUCCCUUUGUAGUCUGUAAUAGUCUUCAAGCCCUGCCACAUCCGACGAGCGUUGGAGCCGGUAUUGUACGAUUCAAUCUUAGACCUGUAUUGAUGCUUUGCCUGUUUGAUGGUUUGUCUGAGGGCGUAGCGGGAUUUCUUAUCAGUGCCCGGAUUCGUGUCCCGCUCCUUGAAAGCGGUAACUCUAGCCUUUAGCUCAGUGCGGAUGUUGCCUUUAAUCCAUGGCUUCUGGUUGGGAAAUGUACGUACUGUCACUGUGGAGACAAAGUCGUCGAUGCACUUAUUAAUGAAGCCGGUGACUCAACGCCAUCGGAGGAACAUAUUCCAGUCUGUGCUAGCGAUACAGUCCUGUAGCUUAGCAUCCGCUUCAUCUGAC